This 407-nucleotide ribosomal RNA is filed under the name uncultured bacterium. RNAcentral describes it as "partial 16S ribosomal RNA". It matches the Rfam family "Bacterial small subunit ribosomal RNA", at positions 30 to 526 of the family's 1533-position model. The record is from RNAcentral.
AUUGAACGCUGGCGGCAGGCCUAACACAUGCAAGUCGAGCGGAGCGGCGGACGGGUGAGUCAUGCCUAGGAAUCUGCCUGGUAGUGGGGGAUAACGUACGGAAACGGGCGCUAAUACCGCAUACUAUCAGAUGAGCCUAGGUCGGAUUAGCUAGUUGGUGGGGUAAAGGCCUACCAAGGCGACGAUCCGUAACUGGUCUGAGAGGAUGAUCAGUCACACUGGAACUGAGACGCGGUCCAGACUCCUAAGGGAGGGAGCAGUGGGUAAAAUUGGACAAUGGGCGAAAGCCUGAUCCAGCCAUGCCGCGUGUAUGAGGAAGGCCUUCGGGUUGUAAAGUACUUUCAGUCGGGAGGCGUUACCGACAGAAGAAGCACCGGAUAACUCCGUGCCAGCAGCCGCGGUAAUUC